This 454-nucleotide ribosomal RNA is filed under the name uncultured Porphyromonadaceae bacterium. RNAcentral's name for it is "partial 16S ribosomal RNA". It matches the Rfam family "Bacterial small subunit ribosomal RNA", at positions 341 to 792 of the family's 1533-position model. Lineage: Bacteria; Pseudomonadati; Bacteroidota; Bacteroidia; Bacteroidales; Porphyromonadaceae. The record is from RNAcentral.
ACGGGAGGCAGCAGUGAGGAAUAUUGGUCAAUGGACGGAAGUCUGAACCAGCCAAGUCGCGUGAAGGAAGACGGUUCUAUGGAUUGUAAACUUCUUUUGCCCGAGGGUAAAAUCAGGUACGUGUACCUGUUUGCAAGUAUCGGGUGAAUAAGCAUCGGCUAACUCCGUGCCAGCAGCCGCGGUAAUACGGAGGAUGCGAGCGUUAUCCGGAUUUAUUGGGUUUAAAGGGUGCGUAGGCGGGCUGUUAAGUCAGCGGUGAAAGUUUGCGGCUCAACCGUAAAAUUGCCGUUGAAACUGGCGGUCUUGAGUGUAAACGAGGUAAGCGGAAUGUGACGUGUAGCGGUGAAAUGCUUAGAUAUGUCCCAGAACUCCGAUUGCGAAGGCAGCUUACCAGCAUACAACUGACGCUGAGGCACGAAAGCGUGGGUAUCAAACAGGAUUAGAUACCCUGGUA